CCCAGUGAUUCCCAUGUAUACAGUACAGUAGAGCUACUGCCUGUGACCUAGCCCCUACUGCAACAGUGAUUCUUAACGAGGAAAAACUGGAACUGAACUUUCUGAAAGAGAAGCUGGACUGGCAGAAGAAGAGAACUGGAAAACUGGAAAAAGAGAGAUGUUUUCUCUAUGGACAGUUAUCAUCCCUCACAGUACAACUGAAGGAAGAACCCAUGGAUGAUCCAGUUGCCAUGAAUGAUUCUGAAACCUCUGAUUCAUCAUCCACAUCUUCAUCUACAUCUUCUUUAUCCUCAUCUUCAGAAGCCAGAGUUCUGUUGGAGUUUGGAAAAGACCAGGUUUCCUCUAAUGAGGCGCCACACAGCAACUAUCAUGAGUGUGUUUGGCUCCAUAUACGUAUGCGAGCAAACCUUUUCUCUGAUGACUCUGAACAAAAGCCAACUGAGAGCCAAGUUGAUCGACAGCCAUCUCUGCGACUUUCUUUGUAUCUCGACAUCCUGACGUGUCAGCUGUUCUUCAGUCCAACAUUACUGCUCCCAAUGAGUGAACUGCUGUUCCCAUCAUCAAUGAUUUAAAAAUCAUUCUGAAGGACAAGUCUGAAUACUUGCAAGACAGACGCUCAGGGCUGCUGGAGAGCUGUGGAGGGCUGCGUCUGUAGUGGUUGGUGUGGUUGAGCGAAAUUUCUUGGGUGUAACUAUGGUGGGUGGUUUAGUGAUCACAUUAAGGAAAUUCCCCUUUUCCCCCUGUUACACUGGGGGCAAACAUCAGCUCCACAGAAGCACAUCUGGAGCUGCUAUAGACUCACUGUCCACAUGAAGACGGCUGCAGGAGAGCAGGUUGAACUAAAGAUGCCCCAUUAAAGACAAUCUCCACACGCUAUAUACAGUCUCUAUGUACAGUAUAUACACUAUGUAUCAUU
Molecule: long non-coding RNA, 916 nt
Organism: Thunnus maccoyii (southern bluefin tuna)
Lineage: Eukaryota; Metazoa; Chordata; Actinopteri; Scombriformes; Scombridae
Exons: 4
Source: RefSeq, a predicted model, not a curated record